AUGAAAUUGGGAACGCGAGUGGAAGUCAGCAAGGGUAAACAUCUGACCCAACAGUUCAUUCAGGGUUGUAAACAGAAAGGACUUCACAGCUCAGACGGGUAACAUAACACUGGAUUCCAGUCAGCUGUUCAAGAUUGGCGAAAUAACUGACUGCUGUGCUCAGAUCCUGAAUAAACACAUUCAUGCAGGAUUCAGUUGCCGACCUUUGCUCAACAGAAAACGUACCAUGAUUUCAAAGAAUAAGGUUUCAGACGCAAUAAACAACGUUAAAGGAAACAUGGCUCUUGUUAAAGAAAAUGCUGUUUCAGGCUAAAAUCCCGGUGAUCAUAAAAGAUAUAUGGUGCAAUAAACAAAAUGAACCACAGGCAGACACGUCCAUUCGAUGACUAACCACUGAUUGAAUUUUCCGACACUCCUGGACUUUCUGAGAGAUAAACAAUUCACAAAAGGUCCAUGUUGAACAUAAGGCUGUCAUUUCUUUUUUAUGUUUCUAGUGAGGUCCAAGAACAUUAGAGGAUUCCCCCCCCAUCUUCUUUUCUUUUCUUUUUUUUUUCCCUUUUGG
This 562-nucleotide long non-coding RNA is filed under the name Equus asinus (donkey). RNAcentral describes it as "lncRNA (ENSEASG00005026140.1)". The record is from RNAcentral. Lineage: Eukaryota; Metazoa; Chordata; Mammalia; Perissodactyla; Equidae.